CUCAGGCAACGCUGCCACAUCCUGCACAAAGCAAAAAUGCCCCAUCAGAAUGCUUGUUAGCAUCAUUUGCAUUCCGUCUGUCAUUUUCUUGCUAGCAUACUUGAAGUCAGUUCGGUUCUUUGUUUUUUGUCGACCUCAAGUUGGUUAGAAAUUCUCAUUCUUUACUAGCUCAUAUUUUGUUGUAGGAUUUUGCCCGCGGGUCUUAUUGCUUGUAUAAACCGGGGUGGCUGUAUCCAUGGCAACCAACAAGGAGGAUACAUUUUUAGGUCGUCUGGCGCCACUCAAAAAAAAUGUUUUCUUUUUUCUUUUGAACGGAGGCGGAGCCUGUAGAUGGCAGCAGGAUGGCCAGAUGUUACCUCCUUGUGCACAACCCCCACAGCCGCCCACCAGCAUGCGGGACUCACUCUCAGCAUGCAAAUGUCUCUGCACAUGCCAGAAGACAUUUUAAAAACGGAGGCAGGCAUUCAGUGUCUGCGCGUGAGCGUGAGCCGCGGUCGACAGCAGCUUCUCUGAGUGUUUCUUUUUUUGGUGACUGUUGCCCAUUCUUGCUUUUGUGUCUACAAAGCAGAAAAGAGAUCCUGAGGCUCAACCAUCAGUUUGACUUUCCUAGUUGAAGAUUCUACAUUUUCUUUCAUGAAGCUCAAUGCUGAUGCGUGCACAAUGUGUGUGUAUGUGUUGACUUUGAAACUAAUUGGCUCCCUGUUGAGCUGACUGCUGUUUGUUUGAAGAUCCGGACAGAAAAGGUGUCAGGUGGCCAAGAACGAGAUGCUUCACCUCGCGAUUAAGGGACCUGGACUAUUUUGACAUUCAGACGUGAGAAUUUCCCUCGCCAGAAGUUUGGAAGCUGAUUCCAAACAGCGCCGUUGUGUUACGAGCGUAUGACGUGUCUCCAUUGGCGGACGGGAAGGAUCACGUGCU
This is a long non-coding RNA of Syngnathus typhle (broad-nosed pipefish), 918 nucleotides long. RefSeq lists it as uncharacterized. The record is from RefSeq and is a predicted model, not a curated record. The transcript is spliced from 3 exons. Lineage: Eukaryota; Metazoa; Chordata; Actinopteri; Syngnathiformes; Syngnathidae.